UGAGAUCACCUCUCACUCUGCAGGAUGC
Molecule: non-coding RNA, 28 nt
Filed under: Rattus norvegicus (Norway rat)
Lineage: Eukaryota; Metazoa; Chordata; Mammalia; Rodentia; Muridae
Source: RNAcentral